GACGAACGCUGGCGGCGUGCUUAACACAUGCAAGUCGAACGGUAAGGCUCCAGCUUGCUGGGGUACACGAGUGGCGAACGGGUGAGUAACACGUGGGUGACCUGCCCUGCACUUCGGGAUAAGCCUGGGAAACUGGGUCUAAUACCGGAUAGGACCGCACCGUGAGGGUGUGGUGGAAAGUUUUUUCGGUGUGGGAUGGGCCCGCGGCCUAUCAGCUUGUUGGUGGGGUAAUGGCCUACCAAGGCGGCGACGGGUAGCCGGCCUGAGAGGGUGGACGGCCACAUUGGGACUGAGACACGGCCCAGACUCCUACGGGAGGCAGCAGUGGGGAAUAUUGCACAAUGGGCGGAAGCCUGAUGCAGCGACGCCGCGUGGGGGAUGACAGCCUUCGGGUUGUAAACUCCUUUCACCAUCGACGAAGGGUUUCUGACGGUAGAUGGAGAAGAAGCACCGGCUAACUACGUGCCAGCAGCCGCGGUAAUACGUAGGGUGCGAGCGUUGUCCGGAAUUACUGGGCGUAAAGAGCUCGUAGGUGGUUUGUCGCGUCGUCUGUGAAAUUCCGGGGCUUAACUCCGGGCGUGCAGGCGAUACGGGCAUAACUUGAGUACUGUAGGGGAGACUGGAAUUCCUGGUGUAGCGGUGAAAUGCGCAGAUAUCAGGAGGAACACCGGUGGCGAAGGCGGGUCUCUGGGCAGUAACUGACGCUGAGGAGCGAAAGCAUGGGGAGCGAACAGGAUUAGAUACCCUGGUAGUCCAUGCCGUAAACGGUGGGCGCUAGGUGUGGGUUUCCUUCCACGGGAUCCGUGCCGUAGCUAACGCAUUAAGCGCCCCGCCUGGGGAGUACGGCCGCAAGGCUAAAACUCAAAGGAAUUGACGGGGGCCCGCACAAGCGGCGGAGCAUGUGGAUUAAUUCGAUGCAACGCGAAGAACCUUACCUGGGCUUGACAUAUACAGGAUCGCGCCAGAGAUGGUGUUUCCCUUGUGGCUUGUAUACAGGUGGUGCAUGGUUGUCGUCAGCUCGUGUCGUGAGAUGUUGGGUUAAGUCCCGCAACGAGCGCAACCCUUGUCUUAUGUUGCCAGCACGUUGUGGUGGGGACUCGUAAGAAACUGCCGGGGUUAACUCGGAGGGAGGUGGGGAUGACGUCAAAUCAUCAUGCCCCUUAUGUCCAGGGCUUCACACAUGCUACAAUGGUCGGUACAGUGGGUUGCCAGUCCGUGAGGGCGAGCUAAUCCCGCAAAGCCGGUCUCAGUUCGGAUCGGGGUCUGCAACUCGACCCCGUGAAGUCGGAGUCGCUAGUAAUCGCAGAUCAGCAACGCUGCGGUGAAUAAGUUCCCGGGCCU
RNAcentral lists this ribosomal RNA (1341 nucleotides) under uncultured bacterium. RNAcentral describes it as "16S ribosomal RNA". It matches the Rfam family "Bacterial small subunit ribosomal RNA", at positions 28 to 1381 of the family's 1533-position model. The record is from RNAcentral.